AAGAGGGGGGAGGGAGGGGGGAAUAUGGGACAAUGGGCGAAAGCCUGAUCCAGCCAUGCCGCGUGGGUGAAGAAGGCCUUCGGGUUGUAAAGCACUUUCAGUGGGGAAGAAAGCCUUGGGGCUAAUACCCUCGAGGAAGGACAUCACCCACAGAAGAAGCACCGGCUAACUCCGUGCCAGCAGCCGCGGUAAUACGGAGGGUGCGAGCGUUAAUCGGAAUUACUGGGCGUAAAGCGCGCGUAGGCGGUCUGAUAAGCCGGUUGUGAAAGCCCCGGGCUCAACCUGGGAACGGCAUCCGGAACUGUCAGGCUAGAGUGCAGGAGAGGAAGGUAGAAUUCCCGGUGUAGCGGUGAAAUGCGUAGAGAUCGGGAGGAAUACCAGUGGCGAAGGCGGCCUUCUGGACUGACACUGACGCUGAGGUGCGAAAGCGUGGGUAGCAAACAGGAUUAGAUACCCUAGUAGUC
RNAcentral lists this ribosomal RNA (464 nucleotides) under Vreelandella stevensii. RNAcentral's name for it is "partial 16S ribosomal RNA". It matches the Rfam family "Bacterial small subunit ribosomal RNA", at positions 340 to 795 of the family's 1533-position model. The record is from RNAcentral. Lineage: Bacteria; Pseudomonadati; Pseudomonadota; Gammaproteobacteria; Oceanospirillales; Halomonadaceae.